Molecule: ribosomal RNA, 547 nt
Filed under: uncultured Glomus
Lineage: Eukaryota; Fungi; Glomeromycota; Glomeromycetes; Glomerales; Glomeraceae
Description: SSU rRNA
Rfam family: Eukaryotic small subunit ribosomal RNA
Source: RNAcentral
UUGGAGGGCAAGUCUGGUGCCAGCAGCCGCGGUAAUUCCAGCUCCAAUAGCGUAUAUUAAAGUUGUUGCAGUUAAAAAGCUCGUAGUUGAAUUUCGAGAUCAGUACGCUGGUCGUGCCUUCGGUAUGCACUGGUGUCUCUGGUUUCUCCCUUCUGAAGAACCGUCAUGUCAUUAAGUUGAUGUGGCGGGGAAUCAGGACUGUUACUUUGAAAAAAUUAGAGUGUUUAAAGCAGGCUCGCGCUUGAAUACAUUAGCAUGGAAUAAUGAAAUAGGACGUUUGACCCUAUUUUGUUGGUUUCUAGGAUCGACGUAAUGAUUAAUAGGAAUAGUUGGGGGCAUUAGUAUUCAAUUGUCAGAGGUGAAAUUCUUGGAUUUAUUGAAGACUAACUACUACGAAAGCAUUUGCCAAGGAUGUUUUCAUUAAUCAAGAACGAAAGUUAGGGGAUCGAAGACGAUCAGAUACCGUCGUAGUCUUAACCAUAAACUAUGCCGACUAGGGAUCGGAUGAUGUUAAUUUUAAUGACUCAUUCGGCGCCUUACGGGAAAC